This 233-nucleotide ribosomal RNA is filed under the name uncultured bacterium. RNAcentral describes it as "partial 16S ribosomal RNA". It matches the Rfam family "Bacterial small subunit ribosomal RNA", at positions 118 to 351 of the family's 1533-position model. The record is from RNAcentral.
UGAGUAACCUGCCCUUAACUCUGGGAUAAGCCUGGGAAACUGGGUCUAAUACCGGAUAUGACUCCUCAUCGCAUGGUGGGGGGUGGAAAGCUUUUUGUGGUUUUGGAUGGACUCGCGGCCUAUCAGCUUGUUGGUGAGGUAAUGGCUCACCAAGGCGACGACGGGUAGCCGGCCUGAGAGGGUGACCGGCCACACUGGGACUGAGACACGGCCCAGACUCCUACGGGAGACAG